Molecule: ribosomal RNA, 791 nt
Filed under: uncultured bacterium
Lineage: Bacteria
Description: bacterial SSU rRNA
Rfam family: Bacterial small subunit ribosomal RNA
Source: RNAcentral
CGGUGGCGAAAGCGGCUCUCUGGUCUGUAACUGACGCUGAGGCUCGAAAGCGUGGGGAGCGAACAGGAUUAGAUACCCUGGUAGUCCACGCCGUAAACGAUGAGUGCUAGGUGUUAGGCCCUUUCCGGGGCUUAGUGCCGCAGCUAACGCAUUAAGCACUCCGCCUGGGGAGUACGACCGCAAGGUUGAAACUCAAAGGAAUUGACGGGGGCCCGCACAAGCGGUGGAGCAUGUGGUUUAAUUCGAAGCAACGCGAAGAACCUUACCAGGUCUUGACAUCCCGAUGCCCGCUCUAGAGAUAGAGUUUUACUUCGGUACAUCGGUGACAGGUGGUGCAUGGUUGUCGUCAGCUCGUGUCGUGAGAUGUUGGGUUAAGUCCCGCAACGAGCGCAACCCUUAUUGUUAGUUGCCAUCAUUUAGUUGGGCACUCUAGCGAGACUGCCGGUAAUAAACCGGAGGAAGGUGGGGAUGACGUCAAAUCAUCAUGCCCCUUAUGACCUGGGCUACACACGUGCUACAAUGGCUGGUACAACGAGUCGCGAGUCGGUGACGGCAAGCUAAUCUCUUAAAGCCAGUCUCAGUUCGGAUUGUAGGCUGCAACUCGCCUACAUGAAGUCGGAAUCGCUAGUAAUCGCGGAUCAGCACGCCGCGGUGAAUACGUUCCCGGGCCUUGUACACACCGCCCGUCACACCACGAGAGUUUGUAACACCCGAAGUCGGUGAGGUAACCGUAAGGAGCCAGCCGCCUAAGGUGGGAUAGAUGAUUGGGGUGAAGUCGUAACAAGGUAACC